Molecule: ribosomal RNA, 364 nt
Filed under: Blastocystis sp.
Lineage: Eukaryota; Bigyra; Opalinata; Blastocystidae
Description: SSU rRNA
Rfam family: Eukaryotic small subunit ribosomal RNA
Source: RNAcentral
CGUACAAACCUUAUCGAUAAACAAUUGGAGGGCAAGUCUGGUGCCAGCAGCCGCGGUAAUUCCAGCUCCAAUAGCGUAUAUUAACGUUGUUGCAGUUAAAAAGCUCGUAGUUGAAAUGAAGGGUAGUUGUGUAAUGAAUACAUUCGUGUAUUUUGUUAUUCUACUAUCCUCCUUCUAAAUUCGAUAUAUGAGUAUUAAUUUACUUGUAUAUGGUUUUAGACGUUUACUGUGAGAAAAUUAGAGUGUUCAAAGCAGGCAUUUGCUUGAAUAUAUUAGCAUGGAAUAAUCAUGUAUGAUUUUCAUGAUGUAUUUGAUUGGUUUGGUUCAUGAGAAUAAGAUUAAAAGGGACAGUUGGGGGUAUUCA